UUGGAUUUUUUUAAAGUGGAAGGCGAGUUAUUUGAAAAACAAGCUAAUUACGACUAGCAUUCAAAUAGUCGGGGAAAAGAGAUAAUAUCACGUCCAAACUAAUCCUUUUUCAUCCAAAUCAUUUAUGAAAUUUGUGAGGCGAAUUAAGUCUUAAGUCCUUAGCAGAAUACAAGUAUUCGAACAACAAGUUAAGUACGACUAGCAUUCAAAUACUCGGGGAAAAGAUAAGAUGUUACGUCCAAACCAAUAUUUUUUCAUCCAAUAAAGACCAAACUAAAUUCGCUUAAUAAACUUGUUUUGAACGGAA
RNAcentral lists this long non-coding RNA (307 nucleotides) under Lathyrus oleraceus (garden pea). Its description in RNAcentral is "Pisum sativum (pea) long non-coding RNA (PSAT_LNC011032)". The record is from RNAcentral. Lineage: Eukaryota; Viridiplantae; Streptophyta; Magnoliopsida; Fabales; Fabaceae.